RNAcentral lists this ribosomal RNA (460 nucleotides) under uncultured bacterium. RNAcentral's name for it is "partial 16S ribosomal RNA". It matches the Rfam family "Bacterial small subunit ribosomal RNA", at positions 338 to 795 of the family's 1533-position model. The record is from RNAcentral.
CCUACGGGAGGCAGCAGUGAGGAAUAUUGGUCAAUGGGCGUAAGCCUGAACCAGCCAAGUCGCGUGAGGGAUGAAGGUUCUAUGGAUCGUAAACCUCUUUUAUAAGGGAAUAAAGUGUGGGACGUGUCCUGUUUUGUAUGUACCUUAUGAAUAAGGAUCGGCUAACUCCGUGCCAGCAGCCGCGGUAAUACGGAGGAUUCGAGCGUUAUCCGGAUUUAUUGGGUUUAAAGGGUGCGUAGGCGGCCUUUUAAGUCAGCGGUGAAAGUCUGUGGCUCAACCAUAGAAUUGCCGUUGAAACUGGGAGGCUUGAGAAUGUUUGAGGUAGGCGGAAUGCGUGGUGUAGCGGUGAAAUGCUUAGAUAUCACGCAGAACCCCGAUUGCGAAGGCAGCCUGCCAAGCCAUGACUGACGCUGAGGCACGAAAGCGUGGGGAUCAAACAGGAUUAGAUACCCGAGUAGUC